RNAcentral lists this ribosomal RNA (274 nucleotides) under uncultured bacterium. RNAcentral's name for it is "partial 16S ribosomal RNA". It matches the Rfam family "Bacterial small subunit ribosomal RNA", at positions 523 to 796 of the family's 1533-position model. The record is from RNAcentral.
AUACGGAGGGUGCGAGCGUUAAUCGGAAUUACUGGGCGUAAAGCGCGCGUAGGCGGUUUGGUCAGUCGGAUGUGAAAGCCCCGGGCUUAACCUGGGAAUUGCAUUCGAUACUGCCAGGCUAGAAUGUAGUAGAGGGAAGUGGAAUUCCGGGUGUAGCGGUGAAAUGCGUAGAUAUCCGGAGGAACACCAGUGGCGAAGGCGGUCUCCUGGCCGACACCUGACGUUGAAGCGCGAAAGCGUGGGGAGCAAACGGGAUUAGAUACCCGAGUAGUCC